UACGUAGGAGGCAAGCGUUGUCCGGAAUUACUGGGCGUAAAGCGCGUGUAGGUGGUGGGACAAGUCUGCUGUGAAAGCGCCUGGCUUAACCGGGCGAGGUCGGCGGAAACUGUCCGACUCGAGGACGGUAGAGGGGGGUGGAAUUCCCGGUGUAGUGGUGAAAUGCGUUGAUAUGCACAGGAACUCCGGUGGCGAAGGCGGCUUGCUGGACCUCUUCUGACGCUGAGGCGCGAAAGCUAGGGGAGCGAACGGG
RNAcentral lists this ribosomal RNA (253 nucleotides) under uncultured bacterium. RNAcentral's name for it is "partial 16S ribosomal RNA". It matches the Rfam family "Bacterial small subunit ribosomal RNA", at positions 524 to 776 of the family's 1533-position model. The record is from RNAcentral.